GUGCCCAUAGCUCAGCUGGAUAGAGCAACGGAUUUCUAAUCCGUUGGCCGGGGGUUCGAAUCCCUCUGGGCACGCCA
Molecule: transfer RNA, 77 nt
Filed under: Clostridiales bacterium GWC2_40_7
Lineage: Bacteria; Bacillati; Bacillota; Clostridia; Eubacteriales
Also listed under: 1 other name
Description: tRNA-Arg
Rfam family: tRNA
About the family: Transfer RNA (tRNA) molecules are approximately 80 nucleotides in length.
Source: RNAcentral